This 248-nucleotide ribosomal RNA is filed under the name Acanthina unicornis. Its description in RNAcentral is "partial 12S ribosomal RNA". The record is from RNAcentral. Lineage: Eukaryota; Metazoa; Mollusca; Gastropoda; Neogastropoda; Muricidae.
CUUGGCGGUGUUUUAGACCUCUCAGGGGAACCUGUCUCAUAAUCGACAAUCCACGUUAUACCUAACCUUAUUUUGCUUUUCAGUUUGUAUACCGUCGUCGUCAGGUAACUUUUAAAAAUUUAGAAGUUAGCAAAAAAGCUAAAUAAGCUUAUACGUCAGAUCAAGGUGCAGCUCAUAUUAGGGUGAGGAUGGGUUACAAUUAUAAAUUUAUAAUUACGAAAUAAUUAUAAUAAUAUAUAAUUAAUUAU